This 872-nucleotide ribosomal RNA is filed under the name uncultured organism. RNAcentral describes it as "bacterial SSU rRNA". It matches the Rfam family "Bacterial small subunit ribosomal RNA", at positions 1 to 872 of the family's 1533-position model. The record is from RNAcentral.
GGCUUAGAGUUUGAUCAUGGCUCAGGAUGAACGCUAGCGACAGGCUUAACACAUGCAAGUCGAGGGGCAGCACAGGUAGCAAUACCGGGUGGCGACCGGCGCACGGGUGAGUAACGCGUAUGCAACUUACCUAUCAGAGGGGGAUAACCCGGCGAAAGUCGGACUAAUACCGCAUGAAGCAGGGGCCCCGCAUGGGGAUAUUUGCUAAAGAUUCAUCGCUGAUAGAUAGGCAUGCGUUCCAUUAGGCAGUUGGCGGGGUAACGGCCCACCAAACCGACGAUGGAUAGGGGUUCUGAGAGGAAGGUCCCCCACAUUGGUACUGAGACACGGACCAAACUCCUACGGGAGGCAGCAGUGAGGAAUAUUGGUCAAUGGGCGUAAGCCUGAACCAGCCAAGUCGCGUGAGGGAUGAAGGUUCUAUGGAUCGUAAACCUCUUUUAUAAGGGAAUAAAGUGUGGGACGUGUCCUAUUUUGUAUGUACCUUAUGAAUAAGGAUCGGCUAACUCCGUGCCAGCAGCCGCGGUAAUACGGAGGAUCCGAGCGUUAUCCGGAUUUAUUGGGUUUAAAGGGUGCGUAGGCGGCCUUUUAAGUCAGCGGUGAAAGCCUGUGGCUCAACCAUAGAAUUGCCGUUGAAACUGGGGGGCUUGAGUAUGUUUGAGGCAGGCGGAAUGCGUGGUGUAGCGGUGAAAUGCUUAGAUAUCACGCAGAACCCCGAUUGCGAAGGCAGCCUGCCAAGCCAUGACUGACGCUGAUGCACGAAAGCGUGGGGAUCAAACAGGAUUAGAUACCCUGGUAGUCCACGCAGUAAACGAUGAUCACUAGCUGUUUGCGAUACAGUGUAAGCGGCACAGCGAAAGCGUUAAGUGAUCUAC